GCAUUAGUACAAAACUUUACAGUACUGGGACAAAACCUGCACUUUUGCAGUCAAUUGUGGCCACAUUAGGGCCAUAAUCAGCUCCGGCAGUUACUGAAAACAGUAAAAUAAAAUUUUGCACCCUUUGCUGUACUGAUGUGUUUACCAGGUCGUGUUAUUUCCUCUGCAUGAAUCCAGAUAUUAAGGUGCUGUUAUGUGGUUAUAAAGGAGGAAAAGUACAAGAAUAAGACCUGCCUCUUUCCCCUCUCUCCCACUCUUGCCCCGUCACUCCCCCUCUGAUCAUUACUGAGCUCCUUUUAGACAGGGAUGGAAAGCCAAAUUUAGUUCUCAGUUACACUGGUGUGUAUCUGCAUAAAGCCACAGCCAUCAUGGGAGAAAUUCCACUUUUAUAUUGCUAUAGGAGACAGCAAGUUUUGGCAAUGACCUUUAUAUAGCAAUGUCCUGGAGUGUAAACAGCUUGAUUUUAUGCAAACAAAUUACAAAAUUGUGUAUAGUGUAAGAAAAUCCCUGCUUUUAAGCUGUCUUGCCCAGGAAAAUGAAUUAAGACAUCCAGCUUGGGCAAUGGAAGAGGAGCCCAGAAAACAAUUUGUUUAUUAUAAGCAGGUCAGUCCUCCGGGGAAUUCAUGGAAUCAUGCAGUGGGAGAGGACAAUCACGGCACUGAAAUGGUGGGUAAUUUUAUUUGUUCCACUUGAUGGUCACAGUGGCAUCAUGCUGGCCAAUUACUCUUGAGUCAGCAGGUUUCAGAGGUUAAGACCCCCUUGUGGGUUGCAGCACUGCAGGCAAAGCAUUCAGGCCAGAUUGAAACCGUUUCAACAGCAGAGACGCCAGCCUUCUUCUCCCUUGGAGAUCUCCUUUUUCAACUGUGUACGAGACACACAUGUGAUAAAAUAGGCAUGUCUCUAACAUCGAGACGGCUU
This 918-nucleotide long non-coding RNA is filed under the name Coturnix japonica (Japanese quail). RNAcentral describes it as "lncRNA (ENSCJPG00005010365.1)". The record is from RNAcentral. Lineage: Eukaryota; Metazoa; Chordata; Aves; Galliformes; Phasianidae.